UUGUGCCAAAAAUUAACGGCUGGAAGAAGAAAGAGAGAGAUGGAUUUCUUGAGUUGUGUACUAUUAUGUCUUAUGGUUGCCUGGAUCGUAAUCCAAGCCCUCCAAUAUUCAUUUGCAAGAAGAAUUCCCACAAACCUUCCACCUGGACCAAAGCCAUUUCCUUUGAUUGGAAAUCUCCUAGAGCUUGGAAACAAACCCCACAUCUCUCUAAUCAAGCUUUCAAAACGCUAUGGCCCCAUUAUGACUCUACAACUCGGCCAAAUAACAACAGUUGUAGUUUCUUCAUCCAUCGUCGCCAAACAAGUCCUCCGCACCACGACCAAUUCUUUUGCAACCGAACUAUCCCGGAUGCAGUCCAAGCCUGCAAGCAUGCCAAGCACGGCAUGCCCUUCAUACCUGUUUCAGCUAAACGGAGAAACCUUCGCAGAAUACGCAACUCCCAAUUGUUCGCCACCAAAGUUCUCGACGCCAACCAAGCCAACCGUCACCUAAAAGUGCAAGAGCUCAUAGCUGAUGUAAGCGUGGUAAAAGGUAAGGCAGUUGAAGUUGGAAGGGCUGCUUUCAUAACUACCCUCAAUUUGCUGUCACGUACUGUCUUUUCUGUGGAUCUAGCGGACCCGAAAAGUGAGACGGCUAGAGAGUUCAAGGAGUUGGUGUGGGGUAUCAUGAAAGAGGUCGGGAAACCGAACUUGGCUGACUAUUUUCCUGUGCUUAAGAAGAUUGAUCCCAUGGGGAUACGGCGCCGUUUGACCAAGCACUUCCGGAAGAUGAUUGACCUCUUUGACAGCUUGAUCUUCCAAAGGUUGGAAACAAGAAAAUCACAUGAUUAUGUCACAGCCAAUGAUAUGUUGGAUACUCUUAUAAACAUGAGUGAAGAGAAGAAUGAGGAUAUGGACAUUCCUGAAACUCAUCAUCAUUUGUUUCUGGAUUUAUUUGUUGCGGCCACAGAAACAACUUCAGCCACAUUGGAAUGGGCAAUGGCUGAGCUACAAUGCAACCCGGAAAAACUGUCAAAAGCUCAAGAGGAGCUAGAACAAGUCAUUGGGAAAGGGACAUAGAAAUCUGCGGUUACAUUGUACCAAAGGGUGCACAAGUGUUGGUCAACGCAUGGGCCAUCGGCAGAGAAACCAGCAUUUGGGACAACCCUACCUCAUUUAUCCCUGAAAGGUUUUUGGGAUUGGAUAUUGACGUACUGGCCAGAACUUUGAGCUUAUUCCGUUUGGUGGCGGGAGGAGAAUAUGUCCUGGGUUGCCUUUGGCGAUGAGAAUGUUGAAUUUGAUGUUGGGUUCACUUAUUAACUCGUUUGAUAAUUGGAAGCUUGAAGAUGGAUUUGUGCCAGAAAAAAUGAACAUGGAUGAGAAGUUUGGCCUCACUUUACAGAUGGCUCAUCCUCUGAUAGCUGUGCCCAUCAAGUAUUAGGAGAACCAAACCUA
Molecule: non-coding RNA, 1433 nt
Organism: Prunus mume (Japanese apricot)
Lineage: Eukaryota; Viridiplantae; Streptophyta; Magnoliopsida; Rosales; Rosaceae
Source: RefSeq, a predicted model, not a curated record